AAAAAGACUCAGGCGGCAGAAAGGAAAGAAAAUAAUAAAAGAAGAAGAGGAAAGUGAAAAGUAGCCUGAGCUUUUUAUUAUU
Molecule: non-coding RNA, 82 nt
Filed under: Heterosigma akashiwo
Lineage: Eukaryota; Raphidophyceae; Chattonellales; Chattonellaceae
Source: RNAcentral